Molecule: non-coding RNA, 74 nt
Organism: Aedes albopictus (Asian tiger mosquito)
Lineage: Eukaryota; Metazoa; Arthropoda; Insecta; Diptera; Culicidae
Source: Rfam
UGUUCCGUAGCUUAGUUGGUUAAAGCGUCGGCCUAGCGAAUACGGAGUCGUGGGUUCCAAUCCCACCAGAACGA